UUCGAAGGGAGCUUCCGCAAGGACACUCGUAGAGGUGCUGCAUGGCUGUCGUCAGCUCGUGUCGUGAGAUGUUGGGUUAAGUCCCGCAACGAGCGCAACCCUUGUCUGCUGUUGCCAUCACGUUAUGGUGGGCACUCUGCAGAGACUGCCGGUGAUAAACCGGAGGAAGGUGGGGAUGACGUCAAGUCAGCAUGGCCUUUAUGUCUGGGGCCACACACGUGCUACAAUGGCAGAUACAAACCGUCGCGAGACCGCAAGGUGGAGCUAAUCGGAGAAAGUCUGUCUCAGUUCGGAUCGUAGGCUGCAACUCGCCUGCGUGAAGUUGGAAUCGCUAGUAAUCGCGGAUCAGCACGCCGCGGUGAAUACGUUCCCGGGCCUUGUACACACCGCCCGUCACAUCACGAAAGCCGGUUGUACUAGAAGUCGCCAUACCAACCCGCAAGGGAGGGAGGCGCCUAAGGUAUGGUCGGUGAUUGGGGUGAAGUCGUAACAAGGUAACCGU
This 502-nucleotide ribosomal RNA is filed under the name uncultured Acidobacteriota bacterium. RNAcentral's name for it is "bacterial SSU rRNA". It matches the Rfam family "Bacterial small subunit ribosomal RNA", at positions 1000 to 1503 of the family's 1533-position model. The record is from RNAcentral. Lineage: Bacteria; Pseudomonadati; Acidobacteriota.